GACAGAGGGUGCAAACGUUGUUCGGAAUUACUGGGCGUGAAGCGCGUGUAGGCUGCUCGGAAAGUCGGAUGUGAAAGCCCUGGGCUCAACCUAGGAAGUGCAUUCGAAACUUCCGAGCUGGAGUGCUGGAGAGGAAGGCGGAAUUCUCGGUGUAGAGGUGAAAUUCGUAGAUAUCGAGGGGAACACCGGUGGCGAAGGCGGCCUUCUGGACAGCGACUGACGCUGAGACGCGAAAGCGUGGGGAGCAAACAGG
RNAcentral lists this ribosomal RNA (253 nucleotides) under uncultured bacterium. RNAcentral's name for it is "partial 16S ribosomal RNA". It matches the Rfam family "Bacterial small subunit ribosomal RNA", at positions 524 to 776 of the family's 1533-position model. The record is from RNAcentral.